AUGGACAUGGCUAGAUCGACUCUGCUAUUGAUCCUGAUCAAGAAUAUAAAUACUUUAUAGGAUCGUAAACGUUUUCUUCUUCCUGUAACUUACUCCUCAGCGAUAACAAAAUAUAGUUUUACUCUACGAGUAACGGGUGAAAAACAGAGAAUCAUGCAAGACGGCAAAAAUCCAUUAAGUUAAGGGGAGAAAGACAGUUACGAAAUUCGAACAACAAAAUUUUACACCUGUUGUCCCGUGUACACGGCUUUUGCUUGUUUUUCGAUCAAUUGUUUUUAAUGUGAGAUGGCAUCGCUACUGUGUUUUGCAAGUGGAGUGCAAGAAAAGAUUGAGAACAUCACCGCAAUACUGAAGCGAAACAACUUGCCGAAGGCUAUAAAUGGAGUUUUAGCAGAGCCCCUUCUUUGCGGGUUUAAUAUAGACGGCGUCAACGGAAAAAAGGCCCUUAAGGCUUUACA
Molecule: long non-coding RNA, 458 nt
Organism: Drosophila gunungcola (fruit fly)
Lineage: Eukaryota; Metazoa; Arthropoda; Insecta; Diptera; Drosophilidae
Exons: 3
Source: RefSeq, a predicted model, not a curated record